CCAAUAGCGUAUAUUAAAGUUGUUGCAGUUAAAAAGCUCGUAGUUGAAUUUCGGGAUCAAUAUAUCGGUCGUGCCAUUGUUACGUACUGGUAUCAUUGGUUUCUCCUUUCUGACGAACCAUGAUGUCAUUAAUUUGGUGUUAUGGGAAGUUAGGACUGUUACUUUGAAAAAAUUAGAGUGUUUAAAGCAGGCUUUAGCUUGAAUACAUUAGCAUGGAAUAAUGAAAUAGGACGUUCGAACCUAUUUUGUUGGUUUCUAGGAUCAACGUAAUGAUUAAUAGGGAUAGUUUGGGGCAUUAGUAUUCAAUUGUCAGAGGUGAAAUUCUUGGAUUUAUUGAAGACUAACUACUGCGAAAGCAUUUGCGAAGGAUGUUUUCAUUAAUCAAGAACGGAAGUUAGGGGAUCGAAGACGAUCAGAUACCGUCGUAGUCUUAACCAUAAACUAUGCCGACUAGGGAUCGGAUGAUGUUAAUUUUUUAAUGACUCAUUCGGCGCCUUACG
Molecule: ribosomal RNA, 500 nt
Filed under: uncultured Glomeromycotina
Lineage: Eukaryota; Fungi; Glomeromycota
Description: partial small subunit ribosomal RNA
Rfam family: Eukaryotic small subunit ribosomal RNA
Source: RNAcentral